This 516-nucleotide ribosomal RNA is filed under the name Vishniacozyma cf. taibaiensis. RNAcentral describes it as "eukaryotic LSU rRNA". The stretch from base 170 to 323 matches the Rfam family "5.8S ribosomal RNA". Lineage: Eukaryota; Fungi; Basidiomycota; Tremellomycetes; Tremellales; Bulleribasidiaceae. The record is from RNAcentral.
CCGUAGGUGAACCUGCGGAAGGAUCAUUAAUGAUGCCCUCGAUGCCUUUACCGGCUGGUAGGGUUGUGUCAGUCUCUUUGGAGCUGGCCUUAUCUCACACACCGUGAACUGUGGCUUCGGCCAUUUACACAAACUGUUAGUAAUGAAUGUAACAUCAUAACAAACAUAAAACUUUUAACAACGGAUCUCUUGGCUCUCGCAUCGAUGAAGAACGCAGCGAAAUGCGAUAAGUAAUGUGAAUUGCAGAAUUCAGUGAAUCAUCGAAUCUUUGAACGCACCUUGCGCCCUUUGGUAUUCCGAAGGGCAUGCCUGUUUGAGUGUCAUGAAACCUCACCCCACUUGGGUUUUUGCCUGAGUGGUUGGUGGAUUGGGCGUCUGCCAUCACUGGCUCGCCUGAAAAGCAUAAGCGCCCUUGGAUGUAAUACGUUUCAUCCUCUUGGGUGGCUGAUAACCCCACAUAUCUCAUGAUCUGGCCUCAAAUCAGGUAGGGCUACCCGCUGAACUUAAGCAUAUCAA